This is a long non-coding RNA of Alligator mississippiensis (American alligator), 712 nucleotides long. RefSeq lists it as uncharacterized. The record is from RefSeq and is a predicted model, not a curated record. NCBI's taxonomy places the organism in Eukaryota, Metazoa, Chordata, Crocodylia, Alligatoridae. The transcript has 3 exons.
UGUGAAUUGUAGCUUCUGGGAAAGGCUUCCUAUUCAUCAAUAUCUCCUGCUGCCUAUCUAGGUAUUUAUUCAGCCUCUAUCACUGAUGUGCCUGAGAACCUAAUAAAGGUGCCUGCACCACCUGCCAGCUAUUGAUAUCAAGUUAGGAAAAUGAAGAUGGAUGGCCUGGGCAGAAAUAUUCAAUUACUUUGUUUCCUUUCCAAAGUGCCUGCUCUGAGAUGGAUGGGCAUUUCUUCUGGUUCUGGAGGCCACCGACUGAGUCUAAAUCAGCAGCGGAACUGGCAUAUACUUAAAAAACUCAGCUCAAACCUUGCAAACUGAAGUGUCUCGGUAAAAGUUUCCCAAAGAUGGGGCAUUGAGAUCCAAGAUUUUACCUUUCUUUCUGUCCAGUUGAGUACAGCUCUGAUGUUUAAACCUGGGAGGGAUGAACAAUCUUCUCUCUCUAAGAACUGUUGAGGUAUUUUGUGGACCUUACCCCUUAUAGCUCAGUGAAAUACCUGAGGACCUCCACAGCUGAAUAGGAUAUUCACAACAGGACCACUCCUUGGAGCUUUGGGGGGAAAUCCAUGACUUUUCUCCACUUACUGGGAGAUUUGAAAGAUCUUUGGAGACUCAGAUUUGUUGGCCUAAAGAAGGGUGUCUGCACCCAAAAGCUCGCAAAAGAACAGUUUCCCCAACUAUUUAGUUGGUCUAAUAAAAGAUAUCACAUUUA